This 108-nucleotide unclassified non-coding RNA is filed under the name uncultured fungus. Its description in RNAcentral is "sequence contains ITS1". The record is from RNAcentral. Lineage: Eukaryota; Fungi.
UAAAUAAUAAGCUUGCCAGGCUUUUUUAAAGCUUGGCUUGCGAAUCCACUCUGUAUUUAAAACCCCACUCUUUUAAUAUGAAUCAAUUUUUAUGUUAAAAUAAAAAGA